CAUGGUCGUUAAAAUAUUGUACAAAGAUAAGGAGCUAUAGUAUGGUUUCUAAUGAGACAACUUAUCACCAAAAUUCAAAUGAUGUGUUCCAUUUGACGUAAACUUUUACAACAUCUUCUCUGAAACAAUUUCACAAAUUUCUACGAAACUUGAGCAUUAUAAUAAAUCCUUAAGGUAACUAUUUCUGUUCUUGCCAAUCCACCCAAAAU
RNAcentral lists this long non-coding RNA (209 nucleotides) under Mytilus galloprovincialis (Mediterranean mussel). The record is from RNAcentral. Lineage: Eukaryota; Metazoa; Mollusca; Bivalvia; Mytilida; Mytilidae.